AGAGUUUGAUCAUGGCUCAGGACGAACGCUGGCGGCGUGCCUCAAACAUGCAAGUCGAGCGGGGAACUUUUAAAAGCGCAAGCUUUUAUAAGUUCCUAGCGGCGAACGGGUGAGUAACACGUGGGCAACCUACCCAGAAGACCGGGAUAACGGCUCGAAAGGGCCGCUAAUACCGGAUAAUGUCGGGGUACCGCAUGGUACUCCGAAGAAAGGGGAAACCCGCUUUUGGAUGGGCCCGCGUCCCAUCAGCUAGUUGGUGAGGUAACGGCUCACCAAGGCGACGACGGGUAGCCGGUCUGAGAGGAUGGUCGGCCACACUGGGACUGAGACACGGCCCAGACUCCUACGGGAGGCAGCAGUUGGGAAUCUUGGGCAAUGGGCGAAAGCCUGACCCAGCGACGCCGCGUGAGGGAAGAAGGCCUUCGGGUCGUAAACCUCUGUCAUGGGGGAAGAAGCAAGUGACGGUACCCAAGAGGAAGCCCCUGCUAACUACGUGCCAGCAGCCGCGGUAAU
This 513-nucleotide ribosomal RNA is filed under the name uncultured bacterium. RNAcentral describes it as "bacterial SSU rRNA". It matches the Rfam family "Bacterial small subunit ribosomal RNA", at positions 8 to 524 of the family's 1533-position model. The record is from RNAcentral.